UGGAGCACGCGGACCACCUCCUCAGUCGGCAAAGAGUCCAUCGGCACUCGGUCCUCCGCGGCAAGAGCGCCUCGAGCUUGGCCCUCUGGUACUUCGUUGUAGACUCGUCUCUUCCUCUGCCUUGGCCACGCACCUCCAAGCGACUGCCCAUCGAUCUUCCCCCAAGAGAAGGCCGACGAGGAGUUUCAGGUUUGGUCUCGGCGGUUCGAGCGUGCCUUUGCGAUGGAGUGGAGGGCCGUCGUCCUGCUGUUCGUCGUGGCUGCCGUGCUGGCGCUGGCGGAUCCGCAGAAGAAGUGCUCGAAAAUCGGUGGAGAUUGCGUGGCGGACGGCGACUGCCCCAAGACGCUGGAGGCAAAAGGCGACUGCAAGGGAAAACUCGUCUGCUGUAAAAAAGGCAGGAAGGUCGCGAACGAAGGUAAAAAAGGCAAGAAGGUCGCGAACGAAGGUAA
Molecule: long non-coding RNA, 449 nt
Organism: Penaeus indicus
Lineage: Eukaryota; Metazoa; Arthropoda; Malacostraca; Decapoda; Penaeidae
Exons: 4
Source: RefSeq, a predicted model, not a curated record